UAGUAGUUUUAAUAAUAAAUGAUUCAGUUAGAUGAUCAUAUUGAUGUUUGAAUAUUCGUGAAUUGGUUUUGUUUGAUGAUUUACUAUGAUGCAUGAGACUGGAGUUUUUAGAUCUGUGGUUUUGGUUUUAUAAAUUAUUGGCUUCGGAUUUAUGUAUUAUACAUUGUGGUUUUCUACCCCUCGAGGUGGUCGGUUUUCAAAAUAGAGUUUCUGAGUGGGAAACAGCUUUUAAAAUGAUUUCGAAUGGUUUUGUAAAUGAUUGAAUUAUAUUCUAAAAACAAAGCUUCCGGGUGGGGAGCACUUUUAAAUAGGAUGAUUGUUGUAUUGUGUAUUGCAUCAUCCAGCG
This 346-nucleotide long non-coding RNA is filed under the name Ananas comosus (pineapple). RNAcentral describes it as "long non-coding RNA (ACOM_LNC021275)". The record is from RNAcentral. Lineage: Eukaryota; Viridiplantae; Streptophyta; Magnoliopsida; Poales; Bromeliaceae.